CCUACGGGAGGCAGCAGUGAGGAAUAUUGGUCAAUGGCCGGAAGGCUGAACCAGCCAAGUCGCGUGAGGGAAUAAGGCCCUCUGGGUCGUAAACCUCUUUUGUCAGGGAGCAAACGCGUCCACGAGUGGACGAAAGGAGAGUCCCUGAAGGAAAAGCAUCGACUAACUCCGUGCCAGCAGCCGGGGUCAUACGGAGGAUGCGAGCAUUAUCCGGAUUUACUGGGUUUAAGGGGUGCGUAGGCGGAGUGUCAAGUCAGCGGUAAAAUUUCGGGGCUAAACCCCGUCGUGCCGUUGAAACUGACACGCUUGAGUGAGUGAGAAGUAAGGGGAAUGCGUGGUGUAGCGGUGAAAUGCAUAGAGAUCACGCAGAACGCCGAUGGCGAAGGCAGCUUUCCGGCGAUCAACUGACGCUGAGGUACGAAAGUGCGGGUAUCGAACAGGAUUAGAUACCCUAGUAGUC
RNAcentral lists this ribosomal RNA (460 nucleotides) under uncultured bacterium. Its description in RNAcentral is "partial 16S ribosomal RNA". It matches the Rfam family "Bacterial small subunit ribosomal RNA", at positions 338 to 795 of the family's 1533-position model. The record is from RNAcentral.